UACGUAGGGUGCGAGCGUUAAUCGGAAUUACUGGGCGUAAAGCGUGCGCAGGCGGUUUUGUAAGUCAGAUGUGAAAUCCCCGGGCUCAACCUGGGAACUGCGUUUGAAACUACAAGGCUAGAGUGUAGCAGAGGGGGGUAGAAUUCCACGUGUAGCAGUGAAAUGCGUAGAGAUGUGGAGGAAUACCAAUGGCGAAGGCAGCCCCCUGGGUUAACACUGACGCUCAUGCACCGAAAGCGUGGGGAGCAAACAGG
RNAcentral lists this ribosomal RNA (254 nucleotides) under uncultured bacterium. RNAcentral's name for it is "partial 16S ribosomal RNA". It matches the Rfam family "Bacterial small subunit ribosomal RNA", at positions 524 to 776 of the family's 1533-position model. The record is from RNAcentral.